RNAcentral lists this long non-coding RNA (290 nucleotides) under Gossypium barbadense (sea-island cotton). Its description in RNAcentral is "long non-coding RNA (GBAR_LNC014401)". Lineage: Eukaryota; Viridiplantae; Streptophyta; Magnoliopsida; Malvales; Malvaceae. The record is from RNAcentral.
UUUGGCCUUUCAAGUCAAAAGAAAAUGACUAGCAAUAGUUCUAUAUAUAUAUAUAUAAAACACCUUAGCCCAAUUAAUGAAGCAGUAGUUUAACUUAGUUUAAUUCAUUUGAUUAAGAAUGUACUAAAUUUGUAUCACUAAUUCACUAUAUACAAGCGAUAAUGGGAAGCCUAAAAUUAAUUAAUUUUAAUAUGGAAAGUUUUAAAUUAUAAUUUUACCACUAAAUUUGUUAAUGCUAACUGUUGAGUAAUGCGUAUGAUUUUUUUUUUCGCAAUUCUGGAAUGCUGGAA